RNAcentral lists this ribosomal RNA (986 nucleotides) under Orchestina manicata. RNAcentral describes it as "partial 28S ribosomal RNA". It matches the Rfam family "Eukaryotic large subunit ribosomal RNA", at positions 151 to 865 of the family's 3401-position model. The record is from RNAcentral. Lineage: Eukaryota; Metazoa; Arthropoda; Arachnida; Araneae; Oonopidae.
UUUAGGAGGUCGCGUCCCGGGGUCGGAUCCGGCAGCAAGUCCCCCUGACCGGGGCUGUUACCCAGAGCGGGUGCGAGGCCCAUAGUUGCCGAGUCCGCUCCGGAUGUGACCUCUUGGGAGUCGGGUUGCUUGGGAGUGCAAUCCUAAUCGGGUGGUAAACUCCACCUAAGACUAAAUACGGCCGUGAGACCGAUAGCAAACAAGUACCGUGAGGGAAAGUUGCAAAGAACUUUGAAGAGAGAGUUCAAGAGUACGUGAAACUGCUCAGAGGCAAACGGGUGGGCCCUCGAAAUCCUCUGGCGGGAGGAUUCAGUUAGGAGGGACGGAGGUGACGUGCGGUCGAUUCUAAUCGGACCCUUUCCGGGGCCGGGCCGCCGGCACGGUCUCUGUUCCGCCUGACGCAUUUCCUCCCGCACUAUGGACGCCGCAGCCGGUUGGGUAGCUGCGCGAGUCGGCCAUGAGGGCGGGCGACGGCAGUUGACCGGUGGGACAGUUUCGGCUGUCUCUGCCGGUUGUUAGCUGGUCCCGUCCGUGGCGCGACACCCGACCGAGGUUGUAGUUCCCCGUUUCCGGGGACACGCCGCCCCCUUCCUAGCGGGCGUUGGGAGCAAGCGUUUCUCGGUGUUUCGCCGCCCCACUCUUUCGUAGUGAGUGGCGCUCCGAGUUCGCUGUUGGCUUUCUUCGUCCCGCGUGGGGUGCACGCGGCUAGCGGCGAGUGAGUCGGUCACCACCCGACCCGUCUUGAAACACGGACCAAGGAGUCUAACAUGUGCGCGAGUCACGGGGUCUUGAUUAGGCCCAGAGGCGCAAUGAAAGUGAGGGUCGACCUCGUCGUCGGCUGCGUUGGGACUCUCCGGCCUUCGCGCCGGGGAGGCACCAACAAUCCGUCCUGUCCGAUUUAUCGGUUGGCCGGAACCGGAGCGUACACGUUGGGACCCGAAAGAUGGUGAACUAUGCCUGGGCAGGACGAAGCCAGAGGAAACUUC